GCUGCUGGAGCGCGCGUCAGGCCUUCACAUCCCGGCGACCUUACAUCUCUGUGAGGGAGCUGCCUCUGGCAGGGACCGUGGUCCCCGUCACGCGGCGCCCACCUGGUUAUCCGGGUCAUCAGGGUUGUCAAACGGCCAACGGCGCAAUCGGGGCCGCC
Molecule: non-coding RNA, 158 nt
Filed under: Glycocaulis profundi
Lineage: Bacteria; Pseudomonadati; Pseudomonadota; Alphaproteobacteria; Maricaulales; Maricaulaceae
Description: Glycocaulis sp. ZYF765 6S RNA
Rfam family: 6S / SsrS RNA
About the family: E. coli 6S RNA was the first non coding RNA to be sequenced, but its function was unknown until recently. It consists of 184 nucleotides that fold into an extended hairpin structure with a large single-stranded internal bulge.
Source: RNAcentral